GUAGGUGGCAAGCGUUGUCCGGAAUUAUUGGGCGUAAGGCGCGCGCAGGCGGUUCUUUAAGUCUAAUGUGAAAGCCCACGGGCUCAACCGUGGAGGGUCAUCGGAAACUGGAGAACUUGAGUACAGAAGAGGAAAGCGGAAUUCCACGUGUAGCGGUGAAAUGCGUAGAGAUGUGGAGGAACACCAGUGGCGAAGGCGGCUUUCUGGUCUGUAACUGACGCUGAGGCGCGAAAGCGUGGGAGCAAACAGGAUUAGAUACCCUGGUAGUCCACGCCGUAAACGAUGAGUGCUAAGUGUUAGGGGGUUUCCGCCCCUUAGUGCUGCAGCUAACGCAUUAAGCACUCCGCCUGGGGAGUACGGCCGCAAAGGCUG
This 372-nucleotide ribosomal RNA is filed under the name uncultured organism. RNAcentral describes it as "partial 16S ribosomal RNA". It matches the Rfam family "Bacterial small subunit ribosomal RNA", at positions 527 to 896 of the family's 1533-position model. The record is from RNAcentral.